RNAcentral lists this long non-coding RNA (523 nucleotides) under Mytilus galloprovincialis (Mediterranean mussel). The record is from RNAcentral. Lineage: Eukaryota; Metazoa; Mollusca; Bivalvia; Mytilida; Mytilidae.
AUUUGGUUGCUCUAUUGCUUGCGCCUUGUUUGAAAAAUUCUCUACAUUCUUGCAUUCGUUGGUUGUUUCAUCUGCUGGUAAGCAUUCAGUUCAGCAUUAUUUAGAUGAUUUCAUAUUCGGCGGUUCUGCAAAUUCGGAAGACUGCUUGGUUCUAAUGAACACAUUUACUGAGCUUUGUAAUGAGUUAGGCGUGCCUAUAGCUGAGGACAAAGCAACACAUCCUACUACAAGAUUAACUUUUCUUGGCUUAGAAAUAGACACAGUUGACAUGGUCGUUCGUAUUCCAGUGGCCAAGCUUAUUAAAUUACGUUCUCAACUUCAAUCAAUGACAAUAAAGCGAAAGAUUAAAUUUAAGGAUCUUGAGUCGCUAGUUGGGUUAUUAGCUUUUUGUUCACGUGCGGUUCCAUCCUCUAGAGCGUUUUUGCGGAGAUUUUAUGAUGUUAUUGCAUCAUUUAAGGUCAAAAAACCAUUUUUCUCAAUUAGAAUAACCUCUGAAAUUCGAGAGGACGUCUUGGUAUGGUUA